AAGUGUUUGGGGGAACUC
This 18-nucleotide microRNA is filed under the name Aegilops tauschii. Its description in RNAcentral is "ata-miR395b-3p". Its record names the gene ata-miR395b-3p. The record is from miRBase by way of RNAcentral. Lineage: Eukaryota; Viridiplantae; Streptophyta; Magnoliopsida; Poales; Poaceae.